Molecule: ribosomal RNA, 450 nt
Filed under: uncultured bacterium
Lineage: Bacteria
Description: partial 16S ribosomal RNA
Rfam family: Bacterial small subunit ribosomal RNA
Source: RNAcentral
GUGGGGAAUCUUCCACAAUGGACGAAAGUCUGAUGGAGCAACGCCGCGUGAGUGAAGAAGGGUUUCGGCUCGUAAAGCUCUGUUGUCGGGGACGAAUGUGCAGUAUUUGAAUAAAGUACUGCAAUGACGGUACCCGACGAGGAAGCCACGGCUAACUACGUGCCAGCAGCCGCGGUAAUACGUAGGUGGCAAGCGUUGUCCGGAAUUAUUGGGCGUAAAGGGAGCGCAGGCGGGAAGGUAAGUCGGUCUUAAAAGUGCGGGGCUCAACCCCGUGAUGGGAUCGAAACUAUCUUUCUUGAGUGCAGGAGAGGAAAGUGGAAUUCCUAGUGUAGCGGUGAAAUGCGUAGAUAUUAGGAGGAACACCAGUGGCGAAGGCGACUUUCUGGACUGUAACUGACGCUGAGGCUCGAAAGCCAGGGGAGCGAACGGGAUUAGAAACCCGAGUAGUCC